UACGUAGGGUGCAAGCGUUAAUCGGAAUUACUGGGCGUAAAGCGUGCGCAGGCGGUUAUGUAAGACAGAUGUGAAAUGCCCGGGCUUAACCUGGGAACUGCAUUUGUGACUGCAUGGCUAGAAUCUGGCAGAGGGGGGUAGAAUUCCACGUGUAGCAGUGAAAUGCGUAGAGAUGUGGAGGAACACCCGAUGGCGAAGGCAGCCCCCUGGGUCAAGAUUGACGCUCAUGCACGAAAAGCGUGGGGGAGCAAACAGG
This 256-nucleotide ribosomal RNA is filed under the name uncultured bacterium. Its description in RNAcentral is "partial 16S ribosomal RNA". It matches the Rfam family "Bacterial small subunit ribosomal RNA", at positions 524 to 776 of the family's 1533-position model. The record is from RNAcentral.